GACGAACGCUGGCGGCGUGCUUAACACAUGCAAGUCGUACGGUAAGGCCCUUUCGGGGGUCCACGAGUGGCGAACGGGUGAGUAACACGUGAGUAACCUGCCCACAACUUUGGGAUAACGCUAGGAAACUGGUGCUAAUACUGGAUAUGUGCUCCUGCUGCAUGGUGGGGGUUGGAAAGCUCCGGCGGUUGUGGAUGGACUCGCGGCCUAUCAGCUUGUUGGUGGGGUAGUGGCCUACCAAGGCGGCGACGGGUAGCCGGCCUGAGAGGGUGACCGGCCACAUUGGGACUGAGAUACGGCCCAGACUCCUACGGGAGGCAGCAGUGGGGAAUAUUGCACAAUGGGCGCAAGCCUGAUGCAGCAACGCCGCGUGCGGGAUGACGGCCUUCGGGUUGUAAACCGCUUUCAGCAGGGACGAAGCUUUUUGUGACGGGACCUGCAGAAGAAGCACCGGCUAACUACGU
Molecule: ribosomal RNA, 464 nt
Filed under: uncultured bacterium
Lineage: Bacteria
Description: partial 16S ribosomal RNA
Rfam family: Bacterial small subunit ribosomal RNA
Source: RNAcentral